AUGGAAUUUGACUCUUCUGAUGAAGAUUACUCCUAUGAUGAAGAUGAAGAGGGGAACAUGGUUAGGAGGAAGAGCAGAUACCCAAGAUUUAACUCUGAAACUGAUAUCCCACAUUUCAGUUUAGGGAUGGUUUUCAGGAGCAAAAAUCAGUUUCUGAAAGCUGUUAAGAGAUAUGGUCUUGCUACAAAAAGAAGCAUCAGAUUUGUGAAGUCUGAGGAGAAUAGGGUUAGAGCCAAAUGUGCAUGGUCUGGCUAUCCAUGGCUUGUGUAUGGAGCAAAAACAAGCAGGUGCUCAAGGUUUCAAAUAAUAACAUAUGAGGAAGAGCAUCACUAUGCACAAAACAGAGAAAACAUGCUUCUUUCUGCAAAGUUCAUAGCAUAAAAAUAUGAGCAUUUCAUUUUGGCCAAUCCUAUGUGGAAGAUUGAUAGUAUUAAAGCCACUAUACUGGAAGAUAUGUUUGCUGAUGUAUCCACUUCCAAGUGUAAGGCAGCAAAAAAGAUUGUUAUGGAUAAGCUUUUGUCUGGUAUGAAGAGUGAGUACACAAAAAUCUUUGACUACCAGCUAGAGUUGCUUAGGAGUAACCCUGGAAGUAUAGUAGCUGUUUGCUUGGACCCAACAGAAAUGGAAGUGAAUGUUUUCCAGCAGUUCUAUGUUUGCUACAAUGCUUUGAAGCAAGGGUUUAAAUCUGGGGGGAGGAAGGUGAUAGGGCUAGAUGGGUGUUUUUUCAAAAGAGCAUGA
Molecule: ribosomal RNA, 738 nt
Filed under: Triticum aestivum (bread wheat)
Lineage: Eukaryota; Viridiplantae; Streptophyta; Magnoliopsida; Poales; Poaceae
Description: partial small subunit ribosomal RNA
Source: RNAcentral